AUUGAACGCUGGCGGCAUGCCUUACACAUGCAAGUCGAACGGCAGCACGGGAGCAAUCCUGGUGGCGAGUGGCGAACGGGUGAGUAAAGUAUCGGAACGUGCCCAGUCGUGGGGGAUAACGUAGCGAAAGUUACGCUAAUACCGCAUACGAUCUAUGGAUGAAAGCGGGGGAUCGCAAGACCUCGCGCGAUUGGAGCGGCCGAUAUCAGAUUAGCUAGUAGGUGGGGUAAUAGCUCACCUAGGCGACGAUCCCUAGCUGGUCUGAGAGGAUGACCAGCCACACUGGAACUGAGACACGGUCCAGACUCCUACGGGAGGCAGCAGUGGGGAAUAUUGCACAAUGGGCGCAAGCCUGAUGCAGCCAUGCCGCGUGUAUGAAGAAGGCCUUCGGGUUGUAAAGUACUUUCAGCGGGGAGGAAGGCGGUGAAGUUAAUAACUUCACCGAUUGACGUUACCCGCAGAAGAAGCACCGGCUAACUCCGUGCCAGCCGCCGCAGUAA
Molecule: ribosomal RNA, 500 nt
Filed under: uncultured bacterium
Lineage: Bacteria
Description: partial 16S ribosomal RNA
Rfam family: Bacterial small subunit ribosomal RNA
Source: RNAcentral